Molecule: ribosomal RNA, 258 nt
Filed under: uncultured bacterium
Lineage: Bacteria
Description: partial 16S ribosomal RNA
Rfam family: Bacterial small subunit ribosomal RNA
Source: RNAcentral
UACGAAGGGGGCUAGCGUUGUCCGGAAUUAUUGGGCGUAAAGAGCUCGUAGGCGGUUUGUCGCGUCUGCUGUGAAAACCUAAGGCUCAACCUUGGGCUUGCAGUGGGUACGGGCAGACUAGAGUGCGGUAGGGGGUGACUGGAAUUCCUGGUGUAGCGGUGGAAUGCGCAGAUAUCAGGAGGAACACCGAUGGCGAAGGCGGCUCACUGGCUCGGUACUGACGGUGGAGGUGCGAAAAGCGUGGGGGAGCAAAACAGG